UGAGGAAUAUUGGUCAAUGGGCGCAAGCCUGAACCAGCCAUCCCGCGUGAAGGAAGAAGGCCCUACGGGUUGUAAACUUCUUUUCUGUUUGAAGAAUAAGCUCGUCGAGACGAGUGAUGCCGGUAGGACAGGAAUAAGCAUCGGCUAACUCCGUGCCAGCAGCCGCGGUAAUACGGAAGAUGCAAGCAUUAUCCGGAUUUAUUGGGUUUAAAGGGUGCGCAGGUGGUUUAAUAAGUCAGUGGUGAAAGUCUGGCGCUUAACGUUAGGAUUGCCAUUGAUACUGUUAGACUUGAAUAUGGAUGAGGUAGGCGGAAUGUGUAGUGUAGCGGUGAAAUGCUUAGAUAUUACACAGAACACCGAUUGCGAAGGCAGCUUACUAAUCCAUCAUUGACGCUGAGGCACGAAAGCGUGGGGAUCAAACAG
Molecule: ribosomal RNA, 423 nt
Filed under: uncultured bacterium
Lineage: Bacteria
Description: bacterial SSU rRNA
Rfam family: Bacterial small subunit ribosomal RNA
Source: RNAcentral